Molecule: ribosomal RNA, 497 nt
Filed under: uncultured bacterium
Lineage: Bacteria
Description: partial 16S ribosomal RNA
Rfam family: Bacterial small subunit ribosomal RNA
Source: RNAcentral
GACGAACGCUGGCGGCGUGCCUAAUACAUGCAAGUUGAGCGCUGAAGGUUGGUACUUGUACCGACUGGAUGAGCAGCGAACGGGUGAGUAACGCGUGGGUAAUCUGCCUUUGAGCGGGGGACAACAUUUGGAAACGAAUGCUAAUACCGCAUAAAAACUUUAAACACAAGUUUUAAGAUUGAAAGAUGCAAUUGCAUCACUCAAAGAUGAUCCCGCGUUGUAUUAGCUAGUUGGUGAGGUAAAGGCUCACCAAGGCGAUGAUACAUAGCCGAACUGAGAGGGUGAUCGGCCCCAUUGGGACCGAGACCCGGCCCCAACUCCUUCGGGAGGCAGCCGUAGGGAAUCUUCGGCAAUGGAGGAAAGUCUGACCGGGCAACGCCGCGUGAGUGAAGAAGGUUUUCGGAUCGUUAAACCCUGUUGGUAGAGAAGAACGUUGGGGGGAGUUGAAAGCUCACCAAGUGACGGUAACUACCCAGAAAGGGACGGCUAACUACGUG